CCCCAGGUUUAGGGUGCUCUGAACCCCCUCUGGUCGUGGUCUGCUGAGAGGAAGACGGUUCCUCAGUGCUGUGUGAGAAAUGAAGAGGGACUCGUAUCCCUCUGCUGUAACAGUGUGAGGAAGUUGCCUUACCUUUUUGAGGCAGAGGCUUAGGACCGGGUGCUCAGCUCUCAUUGAGUCGCUUUGAUGAGCCAUACAUGAGAUCAGCGGUAAUUCUGCCGUUGUCUCGAGUGAAGCUAAGAUCUCACUGCACGUGCACAAAGCAAAUGGAAAGACACAUUAUGCCAGUAACUAGGGACUUCCCUCCCUCGGCAGGGCAGGGCAGGGCUGGCUGCCAGCCCCUUCUCCGUCAGCCCCGCUAAGGGGCAGCCUGCUCUGCCUGGUACCUCACGCCCAGGGAGUCCCCGCUCGGGGCCGUGAGGGCCUUUUGCCAUGUGGAGCUUGUUCUUUGCUCUCCCAGCUACCAUCCCGUUGUUCCUGAGUGACCUGGUCCAAAACCCCACGUGUUGUUUUCUUUUCGGAGGGCCCACCUGGAAAACAGGAUCUGGCAAAAAGGUCUGCAGAAGAAUAACUAUGAAUUAUUAAAAUCAGGCUAAUAGGAAAGGUUGGGCCCUCAUGGAAAUGGUAGCUUGUAUUGUAAGUAGAGAAAAAGAAAACAGGUAUUAAGUGCUUUUUCCAAAUGUGAUUUUCCCUCAUCCCCCUCUCCCGCAGCCCGUUGUUCUGAGAAGGCCAGGCUGUUUGCAGUGUAAGUGGUGCUGAGUUUUUAAUGCUGCCACUACUAUACCAACGCUGUUUAUACACAAUUCAGAAAGGAGAAUGUGUUUGUGCUGUAGACCUGCUAAUUACAUAAUUUUCUCUUUUUAUUAAGCAAUGUGUUCAUGCUGUGUAAUUCAGACUAACUAGAGUGCAGAGGAAAGAUUUAUAUUAUGUUGAAGAGGUAUGAGCAUUUGACCUUGUAAGUGAAUUCCUAGAGAAGGCUAAGCGCAAUGCCGUAAGUGACAGGCUCCAAUUAGGAUGCUGAGAGACACGUGUGUAGUUCUGGUAUCCUCCUGUGAACACUGUCCAGGCAUUUCCAAGAUGCCUGGGCAACAGUGUUUUGCAGCAAUGAAAGGAGUUGCUAAAUCUAUUCAAGAAAUUACUAGUGAGGAGCUGAAAGAAAGAAAUAUGGGAAGGACCUAAAGGAGUGACAGUGUGGUAGAGACCAUGAUUCUGAGACAGCGGCUUAAAAAAGCUUGUCUUUUAUUUAGCGCUGUUGCUGACUCACAGGAAGAACGGAACAUGAGCCAGCAGGCUUUAGCAUUUUCUGCUUAAAGAGGAAGAAGAACCUACCUUACGUAAAUAAGAUGCAUCUGCAAAACAGAGGCGAAAACUUGCCUAUCUCAGUCUGUUUGUGAGGAGAGUCCCUCUUGGAGAGAGUCUUCUGGAGCACUGCAGUAGAUUACAGGAGGCUCUUGCAGGCCCAAGCAGCAGCCAGGACAUCUGCAGGGAGGCGUGACAGAGGCAGGCUGACGCUGCACUGUGGGCAGAGGAGAGCACCGGUGCAGUCCUGUCCUUCCCGCGACCUGCGGUGAGUUAGGCACCACUUUGCCGGGUGUGUUUGUCUGCACCUUGUUUUCAUCAACCAAAGUGACACUCAGCAAAAAUGCUAUAGAUGGGAGAGGGAAUACUUCUGCACAGUUGUGCUGAGUGGCUGAUAGAGAAGACAAAUUACAGCAGGGAUGUCUGCUUGUCCUGUCCAGCAGUGCCACCUAACUGUGCUGAGUGCACCCAGCCCAGGAGCCAGGAGGAAGGGGCUGGAAGCUGUGGCUGGCCCGUCUGGAGAGCGUAACACCCUAGAGACGAGCUGCCUGCUGAGCACUGACUCGCGAUUGUGUGCUGAAGGCAUGGUUGUGCAGCAUCUUUAGAGCUUUGCUGUGCUGUUCCUGUGUACCCACCACUACUGCUGCCUCUUCCGAGAGAACCUGUGUCUGCUGUGUCCUUCACAAACACCCUGAAAGCUGGGAUUCCCCAAACUUUGAUGCCUAUGACAUGCAACAUAUUUCAAAAUGAUGCGCACUCCCCACCCAUAUAACCACUCCUCAUUGCAGCCAUUGCCACUGCCAG
Molecule: long non-coding RNA, 2103 nt
Organism: Cygnus olor (mute swan)
Lineage: Eukaryota; Metazoa; Chordata; Aves; Anseriformes; Anatidae
Exons: 6
Source: RefSeq, a predicted model, not a curated record